CCUGGCGGCUGUAGCGCGGUGGUCCCACCUGACCCCAUACCGAAUUCAGAAGUGAAACGCCGUAGCGCCGAUGGUAGUGUGGGGUCUCCCCAUGCGAGAGUAGGGAACUGCCAGGC
RNAcentral lists this ribosomal RNA (116 nucleotides) under Citrobacter freundii GTC 09479. The record is from RNAcentral. Lineage: Bacteria; Pseudomonadati; Pseudomonadota; Gammaproteobacteria; Enterobacterales; Enterobacteriaceae.